Molecule: ribosomal RNA, 406 nt
Filed under: uncultured bacterium
Lineage: Bacteria
Description: partial 16S ribosomal RNA
Rfam family: Bacterial small subunit ribosomal RNA
Source: RNAcentral
AUUGAACGCUGGCGGCAGGCUUAACACAUGCAAGUCGAGCGCGUGGCGCACGGGUGAGUAAUGUCUGGGAAUCUGCCUGAUCGAGGGGGAUCACUUUUAGAAACGCUCUCUUACAUCGCAUACUCUCGGUACUCCCCAGAUGGGAUUAGCUAGUUGGUGGGGCAAGAGCUCACCUAGGCGACGAGCUCUAGCUGGUCUGAGAGGAUGACCAGCCACACUGGAACUGAGACACGGUCCAGACUCCUACGGGAGGGAGCAGUGGGGAAUAUUGCACAAUGUGCGCAAGCCGGAUGCAGCCAUGACGCGUGUAUGAAGAAGGCCUUCGGGUUGUAAAGUACUUUCAGCGGGGAGGCGUUACCCACAGAAGAAGCACCGGCUAACUCCGUGCCAGCAGCCGCGGUAAUUC